RNAcentral lists this ribosomal RNA (468 nucleotides) under uncultured bacterium. RNAcentral's name for it is "partial 16S ribosomal RNA". It matches the Rfam family "Bacterial small subunit ribosomal RNA", at positions 28 to 507 of the family's 1533-position model. The record is from RNAcentral.
GACGAACGCUGGCGGCGGGCUUAACACAUGCAAGUCGAACGGAAAGGCCCUGCUUUUGUGGGGUGCUCGAGUGGCGAACGGGUGAGUAACACGUGAGUAACCUGCCCUUGACUUUGGGAUAACUUCAGGAAACUGGGGCUAAUACCGGAUAGGAGCUCCUUCUGCAUGGUGUGGGUUGGAAAGUUUCGGCGGUUGGGGAUGGACUCGCGGCUUAUCAGCUUGUUGGUGGGGUAGUGGCUUACCAAGGCUUUGACGGGUAGCCGGCCUGAGAGGGUGACCGGACAAAUUGGGAUUGAGAUGCGGCCCAGACUCCUACGGGAGGCAGCAGUGGGGAAUAUUGCACAAUGGGCGGAAGCCUGAUGCAGCAACGCCGCGUGCGGGAUGACGGCAUUCGGGUUGUAAACCGCUUUCGCCUGUGACGAAGCGUGAGUGACGGUAAUGGGUAAAGAAGCACCGGCUAACUACGUG